RNAcentral lists this ribosomal RNA (501 nucleotides) under uncultured bacterium. Its description in RNAcentral is "partial 16S ribosomal RNA". It matches the Rfam family "Bacterial small subunit ribosomal RNA", at positions 30 to 523 of the family's 1533-position model. The record is from RNAcentral.
AUUGAACGCUGGCGGCAGGCUUAACACACGCAAGUCGAGCGGGGGAAGGUAGCUUGCUACCGGACCUAGCGGCGGACGGGUGAGUAAUGCUUAGGAAUCUGCCUAUUAGUGGGGGACAACAUCUCGCAAGGGAUGCUAAUACCGCAUACGUCCUACGGGAGAAAGCAGGGGAUCUUCGGACCUUGCGCUAAUAGAUGAGCCUACGUCGGAUUGGCUAGUUGGUGGGGUAACGGCCUACCAAGGCGACGAUCUGUAGCUGGUCUGGGUGAAUGAUCGGCCACACGGGGACUGGAGCACGGCACAGCCUCCGGCGGAGGGGAGCAGUGGGGAAUAUUGGACAAUGGGGGGAACCCUGAUCCGGUGAUGCCGCGUGUGUGAAGAAGGCCUUAUGGUUGUAACGCACUUUAAGCGAGGAGGAGGCUACUUUAGUUAAUACCUAGAGAUAGUGGACGUUACGCGCAGAAUAAGCACCGGCCAACUCUGUGCCAGCCGCCGCGGUAA